This 300-nucleotide ribosomal RNA is filed under the name uncultured Acetobacter sp. Its description in RNAcentral is "bacterial SSU rRNA". It matches the Rfam family "Bacterial small subunit ribosomal RNA", at positions 496 to 795 of the family's 1533-position model. Lineage: Bacteria; Pseudomonadati; Pseudomonadota; Alphaproteobacteria; Acetobacterales; Acetobacteraceae. The record is from RNAcentral.
GCUAAAUAGGGGCAAGCGGCACGGGAAAUAGUGAGGGGGCCAGAGUUAAUCGGAGGUACUGGUGGUAAAGCGUGGUUAGAUGGCUGAUUAAGUCAAAAGGGAAAUGCCCGAGCUUAACUUGGGAAGUGCAUUAGAUACUGGUUAGCUAGAGUAUAGGAGAGGAUGGUAGAAUUCCAGGUGUAGCGGUGAAAUGCGUAGAGAUCUGGAGGAAUACCGAUGGCGAAGGCAGCCAUCUGGCCUAAUACUGACACUGAGGUGCGAAAGCAUGGGGAGCAAACAGGAUUAGAUACCCUGGUAGUC